AGAGUUUGAUCCUGGCUCAGGGUGAACGCUGGCGGCGCGCUUAAUGCAUGCAAGUCGAGCGUGAUCGUGGCUUCGGCCACAAUGAUAAAGCGGCAGACGGCUGAGUAACGCGUGAGUAAUCUGCCCUCCGGUGGGGUAUAACCUCGGGAAACUGAGGAUAAUCCCGCAUACGACCUGCAUCCCUUGGGGUGCAGAUGAAAGGCUUCGGUCGCCGGAGGAGGAGCUCGCGUCCUAUCAGGUUGUUGGUGGGGUAGUGGCCUACCAAGCCGAUGACGGGUAGCUGGUCUGAGAGGAUGACCAGCCAGAGGGGGACUGAGAACGGCCCCCACUCCUACGGGAGGCAGCAGCAGGGAAUCUUGGGCAAUGGGCGAAAGCCUGACCCAGCGACGUCGCGUGGGGGACGAAGGCCUUCGGGUUGUAAACCCCUUUUCCGAGGGAAGAGAAAGGACGGUACCUCGGGAAUAAGCCCCGGCUAACUACGUGCCAGCAGCCGCGGUAAUACGUAGGGGGCAAGCGUUACCCGGAAUCACUGGGCGUAAAGUGCGCGUAGGCGGUUGGAUAAGUCUCUUGUGAAAGCUCCCGGCUCAACUGGGAGAGGUCAAGGGAUACUAUUUGACUAGAGGACAGCAGAGGUAAGCAGAAUUCCCGGUGUAGCGGUGGAAUGCGUAGAUAUCGGGAGGAACACCAGUGGCGAAAGCGGCUUACUGGGCUGUAUCUGACGCUGAGGCGCGAGAGCGUGGGGAGCAAACUGGAUUAGAUACCCAGGUAGUCCACGCCCUAAACGAUGGAUACUAGGUAUGGGGGGUAUUGACCCCCUCCGUGCCGUAGCUAACGCGUUAAGUAUCCCGCCUGGGGACUACGGCCGCAAGGCUAAAACUCAAAGGAAUUGACGGGGGCCCGCACAAGCGGUGGAGCGUGUGGUUUAAUUCGAUGCUAAGCGAAGAACCUUACCUGGGCUUGACAUGUUGGUAGUAGGAACCCGAAAGGGUAACGACCUCGGGGUAACUCGGGGAGCCUUCACAGGUGCUGCAUGGCUGUCGUCAGCUCGUG
RNAcentral lists this ribosomal RNA (1050 nucleotides) under uncultured bacterium. RNAcentral describes it as "bacterial SSU rRNA". It matches the Rfam family "Bacterial small subunit ribosomal RNA", at positions 8 to 1064 of the family's 1533-position model. The record is from RNAcentral.